ACGCUCGACACCUACUGGAGGCAGCAGUGGGGAAUAUUGCACAAUGGAGGAAACUCUGAUGCAGCGAUGCCGCGUGAGGGAAGAAGGUUUUCGGAUUGUAAACCUCUGUCUUUGGGGACGAUAAUGACGGUACCCAAGGAGGAAGCUCCGGCUAACUACGUGUCAGCAGCCGCGGUAAUCUGAGGCGGCUGGACGAAGGC
This 200-nucleotide ribosomal RNA is filed under the name uncultured bacterium. RNAcentral describes it as "partial 16S ribosomal RNA". It matches the Rfam family "Bacterial small subunit ribosomal RNA", at positions 328 to 538 of the family's 1533-position model. The record is from RNAcentral.